Long non-coding RNA from Felis catus (domestic cat), 728 nucleotides. RefSeq lists it as uncharacterized. NCBI's taxonomy places the organism in Eukaryota, Metazoa, Chordata, Mammalia, Carnivora, Felidae. The transcript is spliced from 3 exons. The record is from RefSeq and is a predicted model, not a curated record.
UGAUUUAAAUGCCUGGAGUUUGCCAUUUUCUGUCACAUUUAUGAGAAAUUACCUCCAAAAAUAUGGGACAAAUCAAAGGAAAUAACAGAAUCUCCUCUAAUAACAAUUCAUCACGUCAGAGUCAGCUGUCAGAAAUUGACGAUCACGAUCAUGUUGUAAGGGUGAAGAAAGGAGCUAAGCAUUGGGGAAGAGGAAAAUACGUCUUUGUUCCCGUGAUAAUUCAAAAUGGCUGGUUAUGGCAUGUUUCCAGACUCUGGGGAUACACAAGUAAAUAAAAAAGAAAGAAAAAUCCUAUCAUCAUGGAGCUGACAUUACAGUAGAGAGAAUAAAACGUAAGUGAAAUGUACAGGUCCCGCCCGUACCCUCUCCUGCCCAAGGCCCACCGAGUGGGGUGGAUAAUCCCCCUGUGAUCUGCUAGCUUCAACAGACCAGCUUUCCCACUUGCCAUCACCCCCAACCCACCCUGCCAUACAUCCCUCUUCUGCACCAACACAAAAGCCAGAAGGCCAAUUCUGACAAGCUUAGAGAAUGUUGAUUAAUAGAUACUCAUGUAGACACUGCUUAUGGAGCAUGAAGACUUAUAUCUGUUGUAUCAUCAGUAUCUAAUGUCAGUUUUAGCGACCUAAAUAUGCUCUAAUUUCUCUGGAUGUUGCGUUUUGCCCUGGUUUCCCUGUCAUUCAUCUUUCUACACACAUCACUACCUUCCCAAUCCUUUUGCAUUUCCCUGA